GAAAUUAAAUGAUUCCCUACUAUGGAACUAGGAAAUUUGAAUGACAGGACCAAUGAGCAGAAAAAUGUUUCUGUUUCUGACACUUCAACUUCUGUGAACAAUACUGAAAUUUCAGUAAGGGGUAGAGCGACUGCAGAUGAUGAAAUUGCAUUGGACUGGUCCUUACCAAUACGCAGCUAUACCAACAAAACCUAUAGAUAAAACUAACUACGCUUCAGGCCUAGAGGGGAGCAGUUUCUGGUUCGAUGGGCUAUUCCACGGUUGCACGAUAUAGAUGCAUUAUCAAUAAUGGUUGAUCCAUCACUAAAUGGUUGUUAUCCAUCCAAGUCUCUGUCUUGGUUUGCUGCCAAAAUUUCCUUCUGUAUUAAGGUCAGGCUCUUCCUUUAAAUGUUUCUUAUAGCUCUUUAAUGAAGUGUAAAGUCCCACUUACAGAUUAUGAGUUUCUGCGUAUGAGAAACUUUACUGGUUAUACUUCAUAAAAUGAUUCUCCAAUCUACCUAAAUUCUGGUGUUUUGAUUAAAUGACUCUGUUUUGGAUAAAAUUACUUUAUCAUAGACUGCAUAUAACUAUUACCAACAAGAAAACAAACUCUACGUUCGAUGGCUGGCAACAAUGCUGAUGAAUUUGGAAUAAAAUUCAAGGAGCCUGGCAAGUCAUUAACAAUAGUUAUCUCAAUUAGAAAAUGCAGAAGCAAUGGAAUAUAUAUCAUCUUAAACAAAGAAAUGAAGGGAUGAGGUGUAUAAGGAUUACUUUGAGUAAUCGUACCACUAAUACUCAGCUAUAUCAACAGAACUUAUAGAUAGAACUAACAACACUUCAGCGGCUGGAAGUAAUGCAGAUUACUUUGAGAUAACAUUCAAGGGCUGGCAAGGCAUCAACAUGAGUAGUCUCAAUUGGAAAAUGCAAAAUUCAUGGUGAUGCAGAUAGUCUAAAAUAGAGAAAGGAUGGGACGUGCUGUGUAAGGAGUAGCUUAAGUAAUUAGAACACUAAUACACAGCUACACCAACAAAACCUAUAGAUAAAACUAACUAGACUCCAGGCCUAGUGGGGACCAAUUUCUGGUUCGAUGGGCUAUUUCACAGGCCUAGAGGG
RNAcentral lists this long non-coding RNA (1092 nucleotides) under Solanum tuberosum (potato). RNAcentral's name for it is "long non-coding RNA (STUB_LNC000011)". The record is from RNAcentral. Lineage: Eukaryota; Viridiplantae; Streptophyta; Magnoliopsida; Solanales; Solanaceae.